CAAUAGCGUAUAUUAAAUUGUUGCGGUUAAACGCUCGUAGUUGGGUAUUUGUCGGGUGCUCCUGGUCCAUCCAAGUGAUAGGUACUAGGAAUGUAACCGACAUUCUACUGGGGACAGAGUAUGUACUUUAUUGUGCAGCUCUGAAGCCAGGAUCAUUACUUUGAGAAAAUGAGAGUGUUCCAAGCGGGCGUUUGCCAGAAUAUAUUAGCAUGGAAUAAUAGCAUAGGACCUCAUUCUGAAGCUGUUGGUUAUUGGAGUGAGGGAACGGCAAAUAGGGAUAGUUGGGGGCGAUUCGUAUUUAACUUAGUCAGAGGUGGAAAUUACUUGGAUUUUUAAAGUUAACGAACUAACUGCGAAAGACAUCUG
RNAcentral lists this ribosomal RNA (366 nucleotides) under uncultured eukaryote. RNAcentral describes it as "bacterial SSU rRNA". It matches the Rfam family "Eukaryotic small subunit ribosomal RNA", at positions 592 to 958 of the family's 1831-position model. The record is from RNAcentral.